UGAGUAGGAUUUCAGUAGGGAAAAAACAAAAAAGGUCUUGCUUUUUUAAACGAAGUUUGCUGGAGGCCAGGCGCGGUGGCUCAUGCCUGUAAUCUCAGCACUUUGGGAGGCCAAGGCGAGUGGAUCACAUAAGGCCAAGAGUUCAAGACCAGCCUGACCGACAUGGUGAAACCCCGUCUCUACUAAAAAUACAAAAAAAUUAGCCGGGUGUGGUGGCGGGCGCCUGUAAUCCCAGCUACUUAGGAGGCUGAAGCAGGAGAAUCGCUUGAACCUGGGAGGCGGAGGUUGCAGUGAGCUGAGAUGGAGCCAUUGCACUCUGAGAGUCCUUCCAGCUCUCGCCUGCAGGGUGCAGGGGUCCAGACCCCGGCUGUCUCUGGCCUUUGCUGUCUUAGGAGCUUCUCCUUGCCUCCCUCCCUUUUUAGAUCAUCCUUCCUCCUCCCGGUGGAUUCAGAGGACAAUUUUCCAUGAAGAACUCAGACUGGGCCAUCCCCAGGACUCUGGGUCUUAGGCAGUUGUUCAAGUGAUCCUCCUCGGCAUCAGGACAGGAGAUGAGCCCACUUGCGGCUGAAGAGACCCUAGAGUCACAGGCAAGCCAGUUCACUGGUUUUAUCAACCUCGUUAUCGCUGUGCCCGUACUGGAAAGUAAACUUGGGUUCUAUCAUCUGCCCUGCAAUGAGCUGACUGGCCACAAGGGAGCAGCAGGAGGCAACAGCCGGGCCUGGAAAUUGCCCUUCUAACCGCAGCCCCACCAAACAAUGCCCGCCACAAGGUCCUCGGAAGAGAAGGACCCGCGCCCCUGCCGCCAAACUGUGUUCAGAGAGAAGCCACGGCCCCAUCGCUGGUUGGGAGAGUGAGAGAGAACUAGAAGGCUUAGGCCCCGACUCCUCUGUGCUCAGCCCUUAGCUGGGCAUGGGCAGAGGGGUCUGGGGGUGGGGUGUCCUGAGCCUCUAGUCCCCAUCUUUUUUAGCACAGGGGUGUGGGGUCCCCGGAGUGGCUCACGGAGCUCUCAACCUAAUGGAGGAGCUGGGACUGCCACACACGCGCACGCACACACACACACACACACACACACACACACACACAAUGAGAGAACCACGCGGAGCAGGGGUCGGCUUCAGGGCAGUCCCUAAGAGCUGGGGGAGCGAGUCGGUGGGCGGUUGUGCUGGGCCGGCUUCCGGCAGGCUGGGCGCAGCCAGGGCCGGGUGGGGAUCACACUUCAGUCAGGAGGAACCACAGGGCCGCGUGGCGCCCGCCUGCCUGAGCCUGGAGUGGGCUAGGAAGUCAGCCGCAGGCAGAGGGCCCAGGACCCACAGAGCCCCCUCGCCCUGGAGCUGGGGUCUGGAGUUUGAGCGGGGAGAGGGAGCCAGGGCCAGGAGGAGCCGGGCCAGCUGGACUGCAGGCAGGACCAGAGGUUCUCUGAGAACCCUCCCAGAGUGACAGGCCGGAGUGGAAGCGCAUCUUGCGCUGUGGGGACAGACACGCUGACACAGACUGAGGAUAAAGACUUUAAUCUGGGCCCUUUGUGCCCAUGGCUCCAGUUCAGACAAGGGGA
This 1552-nucleotide long non-coding RNA is filed under the name Homo sapiens (human). Its description in RNAcentral is "HSALNT0231824". The record is from RNAcentral. Lineage: Eukaryota; Metazoa; Chordata; Mammalia; Primates; Hominidae.